GAUGAACGCUGGCGGCGUGCCUAAUACAUGCAAGUCGAGCGAAUGGAUUAAGAGCUUGCUCUUAUGAAGUUAGCGGCGGACGGGUGAGUAACACGUAGGUAACCUGCCCAUAAGACUGGGAUAACUCCGGGAAACCGGGGCUAAUACCGGAUAACAUUUUGAACCGCAUGGUUCGAAAUUGAAAGGCGGCUUCGGCUGUCACUUAUGGAUGGACCCGCGUCGCAUUAGCUAGUUGGUGAGGUAACGGCUUACCAAGGCAACGAUGCGUAGCCGACCUGAGAGGGUGAUCGGCCACACUGGGACUGAGAAACGGCACAGACUCCUACGGGAGGCAGCAGUAGGGAGUCUUCCGCAAUGGACGAAAGUCUGACGGAGCAACGCCGCGUGAGUGAUGAAGGCUUUCGUGUCGUAAAACUCUGUUGUUAGGGAAGAACAAGUGCUAGUUGAAUAAGCUGGCACCUUGACGGUACCUAACCAGAAAGCCACGGCUAACUACGUGCCAGCCGCCGCCGUAA
RNAcentral lists this ribosomal RNA (515 nucleotides) under uncultured bacterium. RNAcentral describes it as "partial 16S ribosomal RNA". It matches the Rfam family "Bacterial small subunit ribosomal RNA", at positions 28 to 523 of the family's 1533-position model. The record is from RNAcentral.